Molecule: long non-coding RNA, 534 nt
Organism: Salvelinus sp. IW2-2015
Lineage: Eukaryota; Metazoa; Chordata; Actinopteri; Salmoniformes; Salmonidae
Source: RefSeq, a predicted model, not a curated record
UGGGCAGCUGUCGCACUCGGCACUGCUCCACCAUACGCACGCACGUAGCCACAUCCUCACAGAGCGCAUCCAGCAAUCCGUUCCCCCAUCCAACCCCCCUUUCACUGGUAGUCAUCAAGGCAGACCCGGUGGAGACGCCUACUUUCAUUCACUCUCCAAACUGGACACAAGAAUCUCGAUCGCUCUAACGAAUAGCAUAACUCCAGCCUCUACCAGCAGCAGUACCAUGGCAACCAAGAGACCAGGGGACAGGACCUCUUCUUCAGGACCACAGUCAUGUCCCUCUACAGCAGUAAGACCCACAGACAGCAGGCAGCCUGGGGCAGAGACACAGGAGACACUGGUGUACAUGCAGUGCUGUGGGCAGGAAGCCCCUAACUUGACAGAGAGGAACAGUCAUAGGAAAAUCAUGGAUAGAAACCAUCAGGGCCCAGUCUUCGUGCCCCAGGGGAGGACUGAGAGGGUCUGGACCCACCCCCCGGCUCCCCAGCAGACUACAACUCCCAUAAUACCCUCCUGCCCUGUGUCUGCCCC